UAGAGCCUCGCAAGUCGCUAUUCCGGUCUCGUUUCUAGGUUUUCUGGUUUCCUUUCUUCUGCAGUUGUACGGCGCCUAGGGUUCGCGUGCUGGACCUUCCUGCCAUGGGGCGAUACGGAUACCGCAGUCACAGCAGAAGCUACAGCCCGCGGCGUUACAGCCGUAGCCCUCCACGCCGGAAGCGCUACGAUGACCCCCGUGACCGAUACCGUGGAGGCGGCGGUGGGGGACGGGAGUAUAGGGACUAUCGCUCCGCUUCCUCCGGACUCCUCAUCCGCAACAUUGCUCUCGACGCCAGGCCUGAAGAUCUACGGAUUCCAUUUGAACGGUUUGGUCCAGUGAAAGAUGUCUACCUUCCAAAGAAUUACUAUACAGGGGAGCCACGUGGCUUUGGAUUUGUUAAAUUUCGCCAUGCAGAAGAUGCUGCCGUAGCUAAGCAACAUAUGAAUCGUCAGAUUAUUGGCGGCCGUGAAAUUUCAAUUGUCUAUGCAGAAGAAAAUAGGAAAACUCCUCAAGAGAUGCGCAUGACGGCAAGGGUUAGUGAAAGAUAUAUGGGAGGAAGAAACAGGCGGUCCAUGUCAAGAUCUCCCAAACGACAAUAUCAUUCAUAUUCUCAUUCUCCUAGUCCUCCCAAGCAUGGUUCAAGAUUGUAAAAGUGAAUCGAGUAUGUAAAGAAUCAAAGGUUUAGUAAAAAAGGAAAGUGGAAGCGGGCGUAAAGUUGUUGUUCGCUUAUUGAUCACCUAAUUUGAAAGCUAUGAAGAAAUUUCAGUUUGUCUUCGUUUUCAACUGAAAAUCACUGAUUAUACAUGACUUGGUAGAAAUACAAGUCCAUUUUAGACUUUCCUUUCCCUCGAUAGAAAUAACUUUCAGUUCAUGUUUUGUUCUCUUAAUUGGCUGUUUGAUUGUUUUAUACUAUCCAGUUAAAAAAAAAGAAAUUAGAGCUUUCAAAGUUGAAAGAGAGAUUCAUGAAAAGAGCCUAAAGGGAAAUUACCAUGAUUUCCUGUGAUGAGGGUAUAAUCUUCUUGAUGGUGGGGUCAUGUGUGAUGAAAGUAAGAUAAUUUUGGCCUAAGAGAGUUGAUUCAAAGAGCUGUCGAUGCUGUUCAAUAAGCAAGUACACCAAUAAGAGAAAAAAACAUUGCUACCAUAUAUUUUCAGGAGUUGUGAUAUGUUCCAGGGACAAUGGAAGGGGCAGCCGUGAUUACUACUCUCUGCCUAGAUCAGUUUCUCCAUCUCUUCACAAUGGUAGGGAGUAUGGGUCGCCUGAUGUUAGG
This is an RNA transcript of Zingiber officinale, 1271 nucleotides long. It is a transcript of the gene named serine/arginine-rich SC35-like splicing factor SCL28, with no coding region annotated. The record is from RefSeq and is a predicted model, not a curated record. Lineage: Eukaryota; Viridiplantae; Streptophyta; Magnoliopsida; Zingiberales; Zingiberaceae. The transcript has 7 exons.